This 2357-nucleotide long non-coding RNA is filed under the name Panax ginseng (ginseng). Its description in RNAcentral is "long non-coding RNA (PGIN_LNC018449)". Lineage: Eukaryota; Viridiplantae; Streptophyta; Magnoliopsida; Apiales; Araliaceae. The record is from RNAcentral.
UUUGCUUGGUUGCCUAGGAUUUAGUUCCAAAGGUUAUGGCGCCCUUAGUGGAUUCACUAGAACUUUGAAUCCUGUUUCAUCGAGGUAAAAUUAAAAUUAAAAGAUUAUCUGUAUAGAUCUCGCACUAGAGAAUAUUACUUUAUUAGUUUGUGUAAUCCGAAUGGCUUUGUUAAUGCUUAUUUACGGUAAUAGAAGCUUUAAUUUAUUAAAAUGGCCAUUUUAUUAUUUGCUUCUUUAUUUACUUGUGAUUCUUAAAAACAUUAAUUAAUGCUAUAUGAUGGAUCUCAAAGCCAGGCAACAAUGGUGGCAAUUUAAAUAUCGAUAUCAAAUACUACAUGUAUCAAAAAGAAGUUAAAAAUAUAUUUCGAAGCCAUUUAUUUCCCAUUAAAUGUCAGUUGGAUAUGAAGUUCAGUUCAUAUAGAUCAUAUGCUGUAGAUUAUUGUGAAUCCAGUGACAAUAUGUUCUUGUGGAGAGUUUAUCAGGGUUGGGUACCCCGAAUCACAUUUACUUUAGAACAAGUUUUUUGAUUAUUUUGUUUCUAUUCUAAAUUUGUUGUGGAAAGUGUGGGAGGCAUAUACUACUACUAUACUAAUGUGAUAGUGUAAUAAAGUAAUGAUAGUCAUAUCAUAGAUCCACGGUCCACCUGUUGUAAUGCAUGAAAAUGGCUGAUGAUCUAGCAUGGGAUUUUUUGUCAAGUUUGUUGGUGUUGUCAAUAUUUUCUUAAUCCAAAAUCAUUUAUAUGUAUCUGAUACACCACGUGGGCAAAGAUUGGUUGAGUACUCUGUUUGGUGCAUCUGCCCCACACUUGUAAAGUUAUGAAUGUGAAUGUGUCCUUUUUGUUCGUUCCUAAUUGGGUGUUUUUCGAAAGUGUUUGCAAGUUGCAACCAGUUAUUGGAUGAGGUAUGGUGGUUGGAUUUGGGAUUAGAUGUUGAUACAUACUAAUUGGGUGUUUCUCUAAAGUGUUUCCAUGUAGUGCUUCUAAUUUCUAAUACUACUGGUAUUUAUUUUAAAAUCACGUAUAUCAGAAUUUAUUCGGGAUUUCACGUUUUUUUAUAUCACCACCUGGGUUUUAAAAAUUGACACUUAAACACCUGUAGUUGUCAGGUGAAGUGAAAAAUACGUUUCGAUCGGUCUUAACACUGUUACCUAAAGUGUGUAAAGACAAUUAUACUCUUUUUAAAAUAUUUUCUAUUUCUCGUUCAACCUUCAUCUACUCCAUUAGAACACCAUUCACCUUCAUCAACUCUAUUUUUCAGCCAAAAAAAUCAUCCAACUACGAUCCAAACUCAACCCCAGACCGUUGAAAACCAUUUAGUUUCCUACAGACAAUCAAAUCAUCCAUAAACAUCUUACAAUUCAUCACCAAACCUUAGAUAAACCAUGGUUCAUUCCUUGGUUUGCAUAACAUGAUAUUUUCAACAAAAAUCCAUUAAAACCUUAUGUAAUCCCUAAAUUAAAGCAUGCAAACCUUUAGGCUUUGUCCCUUAAUCAAAUUCGUGCACAAUCAACCGUAAGAAAACCAAAAACAGGAAAAAAAUUUCCAAAUAUUGACGGAAAACUUGUUCAAGCAAAUUUGUGCAAGAUUAAACCCACUUGCUUUUAAGCUCUAUCGGUCGAAAACUCGAGAAAACCUAACUUUUAGCCGACAAACUCCUUCAAUUUGAGUUCAAAAUUCACUGGGUUUUGUGCCUUUGCCAAAUAUGAUAAAAUGGUGUGGAAAUUGGUACCAAAACAUGCACAUCCAAAUCCCACAUGAAAAAACAGGUGGCGGCAGAUAGAUGCAAGCAAGGAUUCACCCAAAUUUGUAACUAAAAACAUGUACAUAAUUUUCUUCAUUGAGAUCAAUAUUAAUGAUAAAACUCAUCCUUGCACCAAAUCUGAUUUAGGUUGAAUUUGUACUUGUGUUCGUUUUGUGAAAAUCACUCCUUUCCUUGGUGAACAAGUUAUAUGGUUAGGCCAGCUUUGUGUACACAAGGUAGGCCUUUGGUUUAUGAAAACAUGCAGUUGUCACUUGACAUUUUUAAGUUAAAUGAAAGAAGGGAACCUGGAGAGAAGGUAGGUAGGUACCACUCACUGGCUGGCCUUGGAUUCCCUUAAGAAAAACCACCUUCCUCCUAUAUCCGCUGUGCCUGCCUGCCUGCCUGCCUGCCUGUGCAGAUAUUCUACUACUACCACUACUACUACUUUUUGUUGCAGCAGUGGGCAAUGGGUACCAUGUGACUGCCUGAGCAUUCUGGGCUGGCCUAUUUCAUAUUUCUGGUCUCCUAAUAAUAUCAUUGUCCUUCAUUUUGGCGUUUUCUUCUUUGGCGUCUUCCCUUCUUUCCAAUUUGUAUACUUAUCCCUUGACCUGAUGCGGU